Molecule: ribosomal RNA, 301 nt
Filed under: uncultured bacterium
Lineage: Bacteria
Description: partial 16S ribosomal RNA
Rfam family: Bacterial small subunit ribosomal RNA
Source: RNAcentral
CAGCCGCCGCGGGAACACAGAGGGUGCAAGCGUUAAUCGGAAUUACUGGGCGUAAAGCGUGCGUAGGCGGUGAGUUAAGUCUGCUGUGAAAUCCCCGGGCUCAACCUGGGAAUGGCAGUGGAUACUGGCUCGCUAGAGUGUGUCAGAGGAUGGUGGAAUUCCCGGUGUAGCGGUGAAAUGCGUAGAGAUCGGGAGGAACAUCAGUGGCGAAGGCGGCCAUCUGGGACAACACUGACGCUGAGGCACGAAAGCGUGGGGAGCAAACAGGAUUAGAUACCCCAGUAGUCCCUGUCUCUUAUAC